RNAcentral lists this long non-coding RNA (230 nucleotides) under Panax ginseng (ginseng). Its description in RNAcentral is "long non-coding RNA (PGIN_LNC014490)". Lineage: Eukaryota; Viridiplantae; Streptophyta; Magnoliopsida; Apiales; Araliaceae. The record is from RNAcentral.
AUUAACCUACAAAGUACAAAAUAAAACAGUAAUAUGUCCUAAAAUACUUUAAAGCAAGCAAAUUAUUAAGUCUAAGAAUACCUAAUUCAUGGGUAAAUUAACCACUCAUCAAAUAUCCCCAAACUUAAACACUUGCUUGUCCUCAAGCAAUGCAAACAACUAAAAUAAAAAUGAACGCAAUAAAUCACUACAUUAAACAAUAACUCAAGCAUAAUUCAACAUGAAAAACC